This 215-nucleotide long non-coding RNA is filed under the name Carica papaya (papaya). Its description in RNAcentral is "long non-coding RNA (CPAP_LNC008920)". The record is from RNAcentral. Lineage: Eukaryota; Viridiplantae; Streptophyta; Magnoliopsida; Brassicales; Caricaceae.
AAAGACCUUAUCUCAGUUUGGCACCAACGCAUUGCUUGAGUUCGCACCUAGUAGCAUAAACACCAACCCCAACCACAAAGAAGAAGGUUACCCGACCCUACCAAUACCUACCUGACAAAAGACCCCUAGUUGUCCCUCCUCUUGCUUUACCACCACUGUAACACCCCACCCAUAACUGUACAAAAAUGAUUUGGAAACUCUAUUUAUUCGAGCCU